AGAGGUCCCAAGCGUUGUUCGGAUUCACUGGGCGUAAAGGGUGCGUAGGUGGUGAGGUAAGUCGGAUGUGAAAGCUCCGAGCUCAACUCGGAAAUGGCAUUGGAAACUACCUUGCUAGAGGGUUUGAGGGGGGACUGGAAUACUUGGUGUAGCAGUGAAAUGCGUAGAUAUCAAGUGGAACACCAGUGGCGAAGGCGAGUCCCUGGAAAACUCCUGACACUGAGGCACGAAAGCUAGGGGAGCAAACAGGAUUAGAUACCCUGGUAGUCCUAGCCGUAAACGGUGCGUAUUUGCUGUAAAAGGAAUCGACCCCUUUUGUGGCGUAGCCAACGCGUUAAAUACGCCGCCUGGGAAGUACGGUCGCAAGAUUA
RNAcentral lists this ribosomal RNA (371 nucleotides) under uncultured bacterium. Its description in RNAcentral is "bacterial SSU rRNA". It matches the Rfam family "Bacterial small subunit ribosomal RNA", at positions 527 to 896 of the family's 1533-position model. The record is from RNAcentral.